CACUAAGCCAGUGGUGAACUCCACAUCCGCAUCCUUUGCUGAGGAUACGGUUAACGGAGCGAAAGCGACGUUCAACCGCAAAACAAGCAGAGGGGGCUUAGUGGUGGGGUGACUGCGUACCUUUUGUAUAAUGGGUCAGCGACUUAUAUUCUGUAGCAAGGUUAACCGAAUAGGGGAGCCGGAGGGAAACCGAGUCUUAAUUGGGCGUUAAGUUGCAGGGUAUAGACCCGAAACCCGGUGAUCUAGCCAUGGGCAGGUUGAAGGUUGGGUAACACUAACUGGAGGACCGAACCGACUAAUGUUGAAAAAUUAGCGGAUGACCUGUGGCUGGGGGUGAAAGGCCAAUCAAACCGGGAGAUAGCUGGUUCUCCCCGAAAGCUAUUUAGGUAGCGCCUCGUGAAUUCAUCUCCGGGGGUAGAGCACUGUUUCGGCUAGGGGGCCAUCCCGGCUUACCAACCCGAUGCAAACUGCGAAUACCGGAGAAUGUUAUCACGGGAGACACACGGCGGGUGCUAACGUCCGUCGUGAAGAGGGAAACAACCCAGACCGCCAGCUAAGGUCCCAAAGUCAUGGUUAAGUGGGAAACGAUGUGGGAAGGCCCAGACAGCCAGGAUGUUGGCUUAGAAGCAGCCAUCAUUUAAAGAAAGCGUAAUAGCUCACUGGUCGAGUCGGCCUGCGCGGAAGAUGUAACGGGGCUAAACCAU
This 704-nucleotide ribosomal RNA is filed under the name Salmonella enterica. Its description in RNAcentral is "partial 23S ribosomal RNA". It matches the Rfam family "Bacterial large subunit ribosomal RNA", at positions 1 to 1190 of the family's 2925-position model. Lineage: Bacteria; Pseudomonadati; Pseudomonadota; Gammaproteobacteria; Enterobacterales; Enterobacteriaceae. The record is from RNAcentral.